UUACGUUACUGGCAGGGGAAGCCACAUGAUCAAGAAGGGUUCACCCAGGGCGAUGCUUGGCCAUUCAGUCACUGCCAGGCAUCGGACCCCUCGAUUCCCCAAAUGUGGAUCUCGAUGCCUAAUUUGUGGUAGUGUGGGGGACUGCGUUCGCGCUCUCCCUGA
This is a small nuclear RNA of Etheostoma spectabile (orangethroat darter), 162 nucleotides long. RefSeq annotates it as U1 spliceosomal RNA. NCBI's taxonomy places the organism in Eukaryota, Metazoa, Chordata, Actinopteri, Perciformes, Percidae. The record is from RefSeq and is a predicted model, not a curated record. The transcript has a single exon.